GGAUCCAGACUUUGAUCAUGGCUCAGGAUGAACGCUAGCUACAGGCUUAACACAUGCAAGUCGAGGGGAAACGACAUCGAAAGCUUGCUUUUGAUGGGCGUCGACCGGCGCACGGGUGAGUAACGCGUAUCCAACCUGCCCACCACUUGGGGAUAACCUUGCGAAAGUAAGACUAAUACCCAAUGACGUCUCUAGAAGACAUCUGAAAGAGAUUAAAGAUUUAUCGGUGAUGGAUGGGGAUGCGUCUGAUUAGCUAGUUGGCGGGGUAACGGCCCACCAAGGCAACGAUCAGUAGGGGUUCUGAGAGGAAGGUCCCCCACAUUGGAACUGAGACACGGUCCAAACUCCUACGGGAGGCAGCAGUGAGGAAUAUUGGUCAAUGGACGAGAGUCUGAACCAGCCAAGUAGCGUGCAGGAUGACGGCCCUAUGGGUUGUAAACUGCUUUUAUAAGGGAAUAAAGUGAGUCUCGUGAGACUUUUUGCAUGUACCUUAUGAAUAAGGACCGGCUAAUUCCGUGCCAGCAGCCGCGGUAAUACGGAAGGUCCGGGCGUUAUCCGGAUUUAUUGGGUUUAAAGGGAGCGUAGGCCGGAGAUUAAGCGUGUUGUGAAAUGUAGACGCUCAACGUCUGCACUGCAGCGCGAACUGGUUUCCUUGAGUACGCACAAAGUGGGCGGAAUUCGUGGUGUAGCGGUGAAAUGCUUAGAUAUCACGAAGAACUCCGAUUGCGAAGGCAGCUCACUGGAGCGCAACUGACGCUGAAGCUCGAAAGUGCGGGUAUCGAACAGGAUUAGAUACCCUGGUAGUCCGCACGGUAAACGAUGGAUGCCCGCUGUUGGUCUGAAUAGGUCAGCGGCCAAGCGAAAGCAUUAAGCAUCCCACCUGGGGAGUACGCCGGCAACGGUGCAACUCAAAGGAAUUGACGG
RNAcentral lists this ribosomal RNA (924 nucleotides) under uncultured Bacteroidota bacterium. RNAcentral's name for it is "bacterial SSU rRNA". It matches the Rfam family "Bacterial small subunit ribosomal RNA", at positions 1 to 916 of the family's 1533-position model. The record is from RNAcentral. Lineage: Bacteria; Pseudomonadati; Bacteroidota.